Non-coding RNA from Vicugna pacos (alpaca), 3813 nucleotides. The record is from RefSeq and is a predicted model, not a curated record. NCBI's taxonomy places the organism in Eukaryota, Metazoa, Chordata, Mammalia, Artiodactyla, Camelidae.
UCUUUGGGCCAGGAACCCAGGCGCCCAGAACCCCACACCGUCGGCUCUGGGUCCCGGGCACUGGCCGGGCGGGCCCAGAGCGCGGCGGGCAGCAGGAUCCACGGGGUAGCUGGGUCCGUGCGGCGCAGUUGCCGAGUCCCGCGGGCGCCGGGAAAAGAGGCGGGGCGGCGGGGUUGAGGGCGGAGCGGCGGCCGCGACCGUGAGCCCGCCCCCCGCUCGCCCUCCACCGGCCCGCUGGCGCGGCCAUGGAGGUCUACAUCCCGUCUUUUCGCUACGAGGAGAGUGACCUGGAGCGGGGAUACACGGUGUUUAAGAUAGAAGUGCUAAUGAAUGGAAGAAAACAUUUUGUUGAAAAAAGGUACAGCGAAUUUCAUGCCCUGCACAAAAAGCUUAAAAAAUGUAUUAAAACUCCAGAAAUCCCCUCUAAACAUGUUCGGAACUGGGUCCCAAAAGUCUUGGAACAACGACGACAAGGUUUGGAAACAUAUUUACAGGCUGUCAUUCUAGAAAAUGAAGAACUCCCCAAACUGUUUCUUGACUUCCUAAACGUGCGACAUUUGCCCUCUCUACCAAAGGCAGAGAGUUGUGGAUCUUUUGAUGAGACAGAAUCUGAAGAGUCAAGCAAACUGUCCCACCAGCCGGUGCUGCUGUUCCUCAGGGAUCCAUACGUCUUGCCUGCAGCCAGCGGUAAUCAAACCUGUCAUCUGCUAACAGCUCUUUACUGAUCUGACCCUGCACCACAUAAACCACGUUUUUAAUACAGGUCUAACAGAGUGACAUUGGUCCGGGGCUUAAUAAUCUGCCAAUAAACCAGUGCUCUUGGUGUAAGAGACAUUCAGAAUUUUAAUUGGGGCAGGCCUUUCAGGAGGAAAUGUAAUUUUUUCUUUCUCUCUUGCCAGGCUGUUUUAAAUUAGAGUAAUAAGGGGGAAAGGUAUUUAUUGUCCUUAAUUUUUUUUGGUGGUGUUAUUUUGACCUCUGUUGGGUAAUUUUUUUUUUUUUUAACAGAUGCUAGGGUUUGAAUUCAAGGCCCUGGCCCUUUUUAAAAAUGUUUCUUCCCCAAAGCUGUGUCUACAGUGCAUGGGUAUCUCCAUUUAGAUUACAGCAUCUUUGAUGGUCAAAUAUACAUUUUAAAAAGUUGUAUAUUUAAGUAUAAUGAAUUAAUUUAAGUAUAACUUUAAUUCAGUAUUUUAGCCUGAGUCCUUUUUUUGUGCCAAGAAAUUCAUAUUAUUCAGAGUCCCUCUCAAAGUGUUCUGAGUAGAUUCUCAGACGUUAUCUCAUUUAAUUUCCUUAACAACCUCAUGAAAUAGGCAGGGCAGGCAUCAUCAUUCGCACUUGAGAAAACUGGGGCUCAGGGGGAUCCCUGACUUGCCCAGGUUCACAUGUGUGGUGGGCGGAUCCCGUUUUGCCCAAUUUCUCCUUUCCAUACAGUGAAUUUUCAGCCUUUGUUUCAGAGAGUAACCAGAGCAUAGUAAAUAAAUAGCAAUAGGUAAAUUACCUAUUGAAACCAUUCCUCCAUUCUGAUAAUAAACAGUUAUCACCAGCAAGAGAGAGGGGACUGUUCUCUGUGGCAGGGAUGCUGGUACUCAUGUCACCCGCUUAGCUGUCAGUUUAAAGGAUGCUGGCUAGGGCACAGCCCUGCUCUGUUGAGGGACUGUUCUAGCAGAGAAAGCUGCCUUUGCUGUACACAAAUAAGGUCUCAUAGUAUUUUCCCUAUAGAAUCCUUUCAGUGAGGAGUAAUUAUCUAUCUUUAGCAUUUGCUUCCCAUCUAACAAAUAGGGAUUGUGUAUUAGUUGAUACUAUGUUAACAAGAUGUUACACGUAACAAAUAUCAUUUUACCUAGUCUAGAUUAAAUUGGCAGUGUUUUAUAAAGUAUUUGUACUAGGUUUUAAAAAUGGUUCCACAAGUACUUUUUCCAGGUACUGUUUGUGCUCCGAUAGUUCAUGCAUUUGACUGAAAUCCUGCAAAAGUGUAGAGUGGAAUGAUCAUUGUGGACUGGAAUGGCCAGGAUGCUUUAUGGAGGAGGGAAUAUAUUUUAUGAUCCUUAAAUCUGAUGCAUCCAGCUUAUUAAGGAGCAUGUGCUAUGUACCUGGCUUGAUGAUGAAGGACAGGAGGAACUUUCUGAGAAGGCGCAUCAGGGCAAAUGUCUGGAGUUGGAAAGAGGAAGUAUGGAUCAUUGGUAGAAUGUUGAUGCAGCUGAAUGACUUGCACAGAGAGGGGAUUCCUGUUUGAGAGUAAAUGAAAGUCAUGGGAUUGAUGGACAGGAUGCAACCGGAUUUUCCCAAUGUGGUUAUUGAAGGAGUUCUCCAUGGGAUAUUUUACCCUCAUCUACAGCCCAGGUAGAAACCCUUCCAUGGCUAGAAGAAGCUGAGGCAAGUUUCGAAGGCACAGUGAAGGAAAUCGAUACCUACCAAAUUAACCCAAACUCUCUGACAUAACUGCUCUCGCUAGUGGUGAAAUUCACAGCCCCAGCUUAAUUCAAGGCAGGGACAUUUCCAUUAGAAUGGUGCUUUAAAAAUAGAAACUGAACCUGGACAGUGCUGAAGGUUAAGGCCAAGUGUUUUAAGAAGUAGAAUGUAGCUGCCAAUUUAGAAACACAGGAGAAGGAGGCGGAAGAGGAUCCUGAGGGAUAUAGGGGUAACAGAUCAGUUCCUCCCUACUGCAGUCGCACCAUUUGCUGAUUGAAAAUCUUAUCCUGAAUCAAGAUGAGACUGAUCAACUUUGGUAGCUUUUUGGUUUAGAUUUUAUGACACACUAAUCUUUUCUUCAUGAGCUUUUUCUCAGCCAGUAUGGAUACAUUCUGAAGUGCUGGCACCAGGAUACUAUCACAGAAGCACACUGCGCUAAACAUCAGGAAGGAACUAAACUGGAAAUUAAAUUUUACUUGCAAUAUUAGGGCAUUUUUUAAAAUUACGGCAUUUUUAUCUAUGUUAUAGUGGAGUUGCAUCAUAUCUAGGGGUUAGCUUCUAAUUUCAGCACUUAAGAUAAAAUGGUACUGUCAGGAUUGUCCUUGAAAGCCCUUUAGACUGACGCCAUUUUGAAAAUCUCUAUCCACUACAACCAGUUUUCCUCUAGUGUUUGAAGAGAUGACUGUUUCUUCAGUUGAAGACCAAUGGAAGUUGUUGAUAUGUGUUUAGGGACUAUUUUGUAUAAAAAACACAUACCUUUAAACACUAGAAUUACAUUUAGCCUUGCAAGAUGCUUGUCCUCUAAGAGACAGAUGAGAACUCAGUGACUAAGGGAACAUCAGAUUGACAACACUCAUCUUGGUUUACUUGAGGACAUCCAUUCAUUGACGAGGUGGUACUACCAUGGGAUUUAUUGUUAUUUUCCUUACUCCUCAUCAUUUCCUUUUCACUGACCUCAUAUACUGAAUUAAUGUAGAUUAAAUGUGUUUGUGAUGUAACUCCACAAUACAUCUUAUAUUCAUAUUAUGAGUAGUAAAAGUUGAAAGCAUAUAUGCAACCUGUAUGUGUGUGCUGUAUUUGGGCAUUUUCUUGAAAACCAAUUAAUAGCUAGCUUAUUUAUGAUUAUCAGUUUAAGAAGCUUCUUGUGGGAGAAGAAAUUUAGAUUUAAAACAACUAAAUCAUGAUUUUUGAUUAAGAUCUAAAUAUAGAAGUUUAAAGCUUGCUGAAAACUCUUAGAGAUAUAUUUAUGAUAGAUGUGUUACUCUAUGCUGAAAACAAGCAAAAACUAAAUAAUCAAGUGUCAUCAACCAAAAAUGACUGAAUAGUCAAGUGUUGGAGAUAUUUUUAGAUGUUUUUGUUAUUAGCUAUUUUGAGUUCAAUAAAAACAAAGAACAAGAAUUAUUUGAA